This 476-nucleotide ribosomal RNA is filed under the name Pseudomonas sp. T11. Its description in RNAcentral is "bacterial SSU rRNA". It matches the Rfam family "Bacterial small subunit ribosomal RNA", at positions 93 to 565 of the family's 1533-position model. The record is from RNAcentral. Lineage: Bacteria; Pseudomonadati; Pseudomonadota; Gammaproteobacteria; Pseudomonadales; Pseudomonadaceae.
CAGCGGCGGACGGGUGAGUAAUGCCUAGGAAUCUGCCUGGUAGUGGGGGAUAACGUCCGGAAACGGGCGCUAAUACCGCAUACGUCCUGAGGGAGAAAGUGGGGGAUCUUCGGACCUCACGCUAUCAGAUGAGCCUAGGUCGGAUUAGCUAGUUGGUGGGGUAAAGGCCUACCAAGGCGACGAUCCGUAACUGGUCUGAGAGGAUGAUCAGUCACACUGGAACUGAGACACGGUCCAGACUCCUACGGGAGGCAGCAGUGGGGAAUAUUGGACAAUGGGCGAAAGCCUGAUCCAGCCAUGCCGCGUGUGUGAAGAAGGUCUUCGGAUUGUAAAGCACUUUAAGUUGGGAGGAAGGGCAGUAAGUUAAUACCUUGCUGUUUUGACGUUACCAACAGAAUAAGCACCGGCUAACUUCGUGCCAGCAGCCGCGGUAUUACGAAGGGUGCAAGCGUUAAUCGGAAUUACUGGGCGUAAAG